GUAAACGGCGGCCGUAACUAUAACGGUCCUAAGGUAGCGAAAUUCCUUGUCGGGCAAGUUCCGACCUGCACGAAUGGCAUAAUGAUGGCCACACUGUCUCCUCCUGAGACUCAGUGAAGUUGAAAUGUUUGUGAUGAUGCAAUCUCCCCGCGGCUAGACGGAAAGACCCCAUGAACCUUUACUGCAGCUUUGCAUUGGACUUUGAACCGAUCUGUGUAGGAUAGGUGGGAGGCAGUGAAGCUAGGACGCCAGUCUUAGCGGAGCCAACCUUGAAAUACCACCCUGAUUUGUUUGAGGUUCUAACCUAGGAGCGUGAUCCGCUUCGGGGACCGUGCAUGGUAGGCAGUUUGACUGGGGCGGUCUCCUCCUAAAGGGUAACGGAGGAGUGCGAAGGUACGCUAGGUACGGUCGGAAAUCGUGCUGAUAGUGCAAUGGCAAAAGCGUGCUUGACUGCGAGACCGACAAGUCGAGCAGAUACGAAAGUAGGUCAUAGUGAUCCGGUGGCUCUGCAUGGAAGGGCCAUCGCUCAACGGAUAAAAGGUACUCUGGGGAUAACAGGCUGAUACCGCCCAAGAGUUCAUAUCGACGGCGGUGUUUGGCACCUCGAUGUCGGCUCAUCUCAUCCUGGGGCUGUAGCCGGUCCCAAGGGUAUGGCUGUUCGCCAUUUAAAGAGGUACGUGAGCUGGGUUUAAAACGUCGUGAGACAGUUUUGUCCCUAUCUGCCGUGGGCGUUGGAAGAUUGACGGGGGCUGCUCCUAGUACGAGAGGACCGGAGUGGACUCACCUCUGGUGUACCGGUUGUCACGCCAGUGGCAUCGCCGGGUAGCUAUGUGGGGAAAGGAUAACCGCUGAAAGCAUCUAAGCGGGAAACCUGCCUGAAGAUAAGUCUUCCUGGAGGCUUUGACCUCCCUGAAGAGUCGUUCGAGACCAGGACGUUGAUAGGUUGGAUGUGCAAGCGCUGUGAGGCGUUGAGCUGACCAAUACUAAUUGCUCGUGAAGCUUGAUCCU
This 1008-nucleotide ribosomal RNA is filed under the name human gut metagenome. Its description in RNAcentral is "bacterial LSU rRNA". It matches the Rfam family "Bacterial large subunit ribosomal RNA", at positions 1923 to 2925 of the family's 2925-position model. The record is from RNAcentral.